UAAUAUGAGAGUUUGAUCUUGGCUCAGGAUGAACGCUGGCGGCGUGCCUAAUACAUGCAAGUCGAACGAACUUCCGUUAAUUGAUUAUGACGUGCUUGCACUGAAUGAGAUUUUAACACGAAGUGAGUGGCGGACGGGUGAGUAACACGUGGGUAACCUGCCCAGAAGCAGGGGAUAACACCUGGAAACAGAUGCUAAUACCG
This 203-nucleotide ribosomal RNA is filed under the name Pediococcus acidilactici. RNAcentral's name for it is "partial 16S ribosomal RNA". It matches the Rfam family "Bacterial small subunit ribosomal RNA", at positions 1 to 171 of the family's 1533-position model. The record is from RNAcentral. Lineage: Bacteria; Bacillati; Bacillota; Bacilli; Lactobacillales; Lactobacillaceae.